Salvia miltiorrhiza (redroot sage) is the source of this 1977-nucleotide RNA transcript. It is a transcript of the gene named myosin-7-like, with no coding region annotated. The record is from RefSeq and is a predicted model, not a curated record. Lineage: Eukaryota; Viridiplantae; Streptophyta; Magnoliopsida; Lamiales; Lamiaceae. The transcript has 9 exons.
UCUAUGUAGUGUUGUCCAUACGUUUAGAUAACGGUUUGAGUUAUUCCGUUAUAUUUGUGCGUUAUCUAUUAGAUACAUACAUAACGGUAUUACAAAACCGUUAAGCCGACCGUUAUCUAUGAGCAUCUUUUUAUAGAAUUUUAAAAAUUAAAAGAAAAAAAAAAUCAAAAAAUUGGCUUCUUCUUCCCCAAAUUGGCUUCGACACCUCCACUUUCCCCAAAAACUUAAAGAAAAACAGGGCUUCUGCAAUUCUUCUUCUCCAUCCGCCUUCUUCUCCAUCCGCCUUCUUCUUCGCCUCUCCUCCCCCCAUCCGCCUUCUUCUUCCCCAAAUCGACCCCUCUGCCAUAUACCAACUCUGUUCGCCCCGAUUCUCCACCAAGUCCCGACUUCGAACCAUGCCGAUGCUCCAGCGCGGCGCACACUUCGGCGACCCGGAUCGACGCCUCCUUCACCAACUCCAGCGCGGCGCACGCUUCGGCGACCCGGAUCGAACCAAGUCCCAGCUUCGAACCCUAGGUUGUCGCAGGUGGCCUGUCAUCGAAGCCUCUCAGGAAAGCCAACUUUCCCCUCACGACCUAUCUCGAGCUCCUCUAUUUUUUCCCCAAAUUCAGAACCCUAGGUUGUUUGUCGCCACCUCCACCGCUUCCACCGGUAGUCACCUCCCUCGCACUGAAAUACUCCGAUUUUAAUGGCAGCGACCCUCUCUCUCUCAGAUAAUAUGCACAAAUUGGGCACAACUUUAUCUUUCUAGGGUUCUAAAUUGCUCCGGUAACGACAGUUCUCUCCAACUCCAUUAUUGAAUUCGCGGGGGGAUUCUGAAUUCUUGAUUGCUCCGGGUCCGAAUUGUUAUGACAGUUUUCUUAGGUGGUAAGCUUUGCUUAAUUGAAUAUUAGGCAUGGUGGAUGCUCACAAUGAAAUCAUGUCUUGUAUUCCUGUGCUCUAAGACCUAAAUUUGAAACUGAUCGUGUAUUGUUAGGCUGAUGCUGGAGGUUCACCCUCACUUGUUGCUCGAGGAUUCAGCACUGUUCAGGCUGCUAGUGGUGGUGAGCAACUUGAAAUUCAAGUUCCAGUUGAAAGGAGUAUGUGGCAGAAGACCGUGAAGCUAACAAGGAUGUGUCCGAACUUGAUCCCAGCCAUGUGACCGAGCUAAGAUGCUAGGCCUCUAUUGAGGCUGUGGCGAAUCCUGAAUGGUUGGUUCAGAGUUUAGUGAGUUCUCUGGAAAAGAAAGUAGAUGAAGGAGAGAAGAAGUAUGAAGAGUCGAACAAGCUAGCUAUGGAGGCAGAGACAGAGAUAAUUAAGCUGAAGACCGAAAUGCAGAGGCUUGAAGAGAAAAUUUCUGACAUGGAGACAGCAGAUCAGGUUCUCCGUCGACAGGCUUUAAUGAAUAAUCCUUCAGGGAAACUAUCUGGGCAGUUACCUUCAACUACUCAUGAAGGGGAGAAUGGUCAUCAAGAACUUUUGAGUGCAGCACCAAGUAAAAGAUUUGGUACUGAAUCAGAUAGCGCAUUGAGGAAAUCUACCAUUGAAAGGCAACGUGGAAAAGCUUAACUCCAUGAAUUUGAUGCUUUAUAUGGCACCGAUUGCUGUUGUAGUUUGGCUGUGUUUGUAAUGGAACCUGAUAUAUUUAACUUAGUUGUCGCACUUGGAAAGGAACAUAAAUUCAUGUGGAUUCUUCUUUUCGUUAAUUCAACAGUGGAUUAUGAAGCGAACUUGUGCAAUAUCCUGGUGACUAAGCAUACAAGUGCUCUAACACUCCAGGUUUGUGGUGGAUUAAAUGAGUCGUACGUUGAGCUGAAGAGACUUGUGAAUUCACAAGAAAAGUUGUACCAUAUGGCUAGCUAGUUGCAUAUUUAAUAUGUUUAGUAUUUUUGUAAGGCAUAAUAGUAUAGAUAGAACAGUUGUUGAAUUUUGACUAUAUUCAAAUCUUGUAUGAAUUCUUUUUUAUGAUAAUAAUAUAAAAUUAAAUAUUUUGGAUGA